Molecule: ribosomal RNA, 420 nt
Filed under: uncultured archaeon
Lineage: Archaea
Description: bacterial SSU rRNA
Rfam family: Archaeal small subunit ribosomal RNA
Source: RNAcentral
AGACUGUCAGGCUUGGGAUCGGGAGAGGUAUGAGGUACGUUCAGGGGUAGGGGUAAAAUCCUGUAAUCCUUGGGAGGACCACCGGUGGCGAAGGCGUCAUACUAGAACGAAUCCGACGGUGAGGGACGAAGCCCUAGGUCGCAAACGGGAUUAGAUACCCCGGUAGUCUAGGGUGUAAACGCUGCAGACUAGGUGUUGGAGGCCCUACGGGGCACCCAGUGCCCGAAGAGAAGUUGUUAAGUCUGCUACUUGGGGAGUACGUCCGCAAGGAUGAAACUUAAAGGAAUUGGCGGGGGAGCACCGCAAACCGGGAGGAGCGUGCGGUUUAAUUGGAUUCAACACCGGAAACUCACCAAGGGAGACCAUCACAUGAAAGCCAGGCUAAUGACUUUGCUUGAUUCUUGGAGGAGAGGUGCAUGG